CGAACUGGUGAGUAACACGUGGGUAACCUGCCCAGAAGAAGGGGAUAACACCUGGAAACAGAUGCUAAUACCGUAUAACAACAAGAACCACAUGGUUCUUGUUUGAAAGCUGGCCUUUGUGCUAGUGCUUCUGGAUGGACCCGCGGCGUAUUAGCUAGUUGGUGAGAUAAUAGCUCACCAAGGCAAUGAUACGUAGCAGACCUGAGAGGGUAAUCUGCCACAAUGGGACUGAGACACGGCCCAUACUCCUACGGGAGGCAGCAGUAGGGAAUCUUCCACAAUGGACGAAAGUCUGAUGGAGCAACGCCGCGUGAGUGAAGAAGGGUUUCGGCUCGUAAAACUCUGUUGUUAGAGAAGAACAGCCGUGAGAGCAACUGCUCACGGUAUGACGGUAUCUAACCAGAAAGUCACGGCUAACUACGUGCCAGCAGCCGCGGUAAUACGUAGGUGGCAAACGUUGUCCGGAUUUAUUGGGCGUAAAGGGAGCGCAGGCGGUUUAUUAAGUCUGAUGUGAAAGCCUUCGGCUUAACCGGAGAAGUGCAUCGGAAACUGAUAAACUUGAGUGCAGAAAAGGAUAGUGGAACUUCAUGUGUAGCGGUGAAAUGCGUAGAUAUAUGAAGGAACACCAGUGGCGAAGGCGGCUAUCUGGUCUGUAACUGACGCUGAGGCUCGAAAGCAUGGGUAGCAAACAGGAUUAGAUACCCUGGUAGUCCAUGCCGUAAACGAUGAAUGCUAGGUGUUGGAAGGU
This 748-nucleotide ribosomal RNA is filed under the name Fructilactobacillus sanfranciscensis. Its description in RNAcentral is "bacterial SSU rRNA". It matches the Rfam family "Bacterial small subunit ribosomal RNA", at positions 99 to 831 of the family's 1533-position model. Lineage: Bacteria; Bacillati; Bacillota; Bacilli; Lactobacillales; Lactobacillaceae. The record is from RNAcentral.